UACGGGGGGGGUAAGCGUUGUUCGGAAUUACUGGGCGUAAAGGGCUCGUAGGCGGCCAACUAAGUCAUACGUGAAAUCCCUCAGCUUAACUGGGGAACUGCGUCUGAUACUGGAUGGCUUGAGUUUGGGAGAGGGAUGCGGAAUUCCAGGUGUAGCGGUGAAAUGCGUAGAUAUCUGGAGGAACACCGGUGGCGAAGGCGGCAUCCUGGACCAACACUGACGCUGAGUGAGCGAAAGCCAGGGGAGCAAACGGG
RNAcentral lists this ribosomal RNA (254 nucleotides) under uncultured bacterium. Its description in RNAcentral is "partial 16S ribosomal RNA". It matches the Rfam family "Bacterial small subunit ribosomal RNA", at positions 524 to 776 of the family's 1533-position model. The record is from RNAcentral.